This is a long non-coding RNA of Trachemys scripta elegans, 1102 nucleotides long. RefSeq lists it as uncharacterized. Lineage: Eukaryota; Metazoa; Chordata; Testudines; Emydidae. The transcript is spliced from 5 exons. The record is from RefSeq and is a predicted model, not a curated record.
UAGUCCAUCUAAAUUCGUACCGUACCACCAAGGAAGUCUUCAUGAGGCCAUUUUCAGGCUGAUGACUAAGGCAAACAGUACAGGCUUCUGGAGCUAAAAAGUCCAUCAUUGCCCAUCAUUAUCAGAGCUCCCAACAGUGCUACCCGCAGCUGGAACUGAAAGGUGUUAGCACAGGGUCAGAGCAUGUUCCAGAAUAUGUGGAAAAGUUGCUGACACUGGAGAGAUUUGUUGGGACGUGCACCAAAUCUGAAACCUUGACCACUUCUGCAGCAGGACCUUCAACAAAAGAGGAAAUGGAGGGAAGGCACAAGAAAGGUUCUUGAACCAGGGGAGAAGGAAAGCAUUGACCCAAGAGUGCUGUCCCAUCCCCGCCUUGGAGCGGUAUCGUGGACACUUCUUGUUCCGCUCUCUCUCUAUCCUCUUGGACCCUACUGUUGUUGCUACAAAGUUGAAGGAUCACGUGGAAUCCCUGUCUAAACACUACCAAAGGAGUGCAGCAUUGCAGGCCGAUUCUGUUCUUUUGUCUGUCUUCUCCACCAUAAAGAAAGAACUGCAACACAAGGAUGGCAGCGAAAUGGCAGCUAGCAGACCAGUACCAGCUAAAAGAAAAUCUCCAAGGGUUAAAAAAGCAUUGCCAAAUGCUCUUGGUUAAUAAAGAGGACAGCCCAAAACCAGUGAAAUCAAUCUGGGGAGGACUGCUUUAAGAAGAAUGAGUAGGAUCUGGCUGCAGCUGUUGGUGGCAGAACAUAAAUGGCAGGGUCUAAAAAACGUACAGCCAUUCCCAUUCUGCCUUGGCUGAUUGAAGGCAGAACCAGACCUAAUAGCUGUAAAUAGAUGGAAGAACGAAAACAUGGACCCACUGUAAGUAACCUGCAGACCUUAAGAGGGAAAAAGCCAGUUUUCCCUUCAUUAAUGACUGAUGCUAGAGUAGACACAAAUAAGUUGACCAGAGAAUCAGUGUCUAUAGUAUUUAUAUCACUCAUUCUUCCGUCUAUGAAAGGGGAUAGAGAUGUCUGUCUCCUUUGUAAAGUGCUUUGAGAUCUACAGAUGAAGAGUGCUACAAGAGAUGGGGGAUUAAAAGGGUCUGUAACAAAAAUUUAAA